This is a non-coding RNA of Aegilops tauschii subsp. strangulata, 279 nucleotides long. The record is from RefSeq and is a predicted model, not a curated record. Lineage: Eukaryota; Viridiplantae; Streptophyta; Magnoliopsida; Poales; Poaceae.
AAAAAUACGGAAAAUCGCCAGAAGCAAAAGGCGAGGCAUAUAGCUGGUUCAAAAUCGUACUCGCAGAUUAGCUAUGAGAAGAGGGACGAGGAGACUGGGAAGGAACCAACUAUUCUACAACUUUGGCAGAUCACUCAUACACGAAAUGGAUCGUGGUCUAAUGAAGAAUCACAGACUGUUUAUGACAAUGCACGCAUCCAGAUUAGGGAGAAAGAAGGAGAGAUUGGUGGUCCAAUUUCAAGUGAAGAGCAAAACAAUAUUUUCCAGAAUAGCUACAGA